CCUACGGGAGGCUGCAGUGGGGAAUAUUGGACAAUGGGGGGAACCCUGAUCCAGCCAUGCCGCGUGUGUGAAGAAGGCCCUCGGGUUGUAAAGCACUUUCAGUGAGGAAGAACGCCUGGUGGUUAAUACCCAUCAGGAAAGACAUCACUCACAGAAGAAGCACCGGCUAACUCCGUGCCAGCAGCCGCGGUAAUACGGAGGGUGCGAGCGUUAAUCGGAAUUACUGGGCGUAAAGCGCGCGUAGGUGGCUUGAUAAGCCGGUUGUGAAAGCCCCGGGCUCAACCUGGGAACGGCAUCCGGAACUGUCAAGCUAGAGUGCAGGAGAGGAAGGUAGAAUUCCCGGUGUAGCGGUGAAAUGCGUAGAGAUCGGGAGGAAAACCAGUGGCGAAGGCGGCCUUCUGGACUGACACUGACACUGAGGUGCGAAAGCGUGGGUAGCAAACAGGAUUAGAUACCCUGGUAGUC
RNAcentral lists this ribosomal RNA (465 nucleotides) under Vreelandella stevensii. RNAcentral describes it as "partial 16S ribosomal RNA". It matches the Rfam family "Bacterial small subunit ribosomal RNA", at positions 338 to 795 of the family's 1533-position model. The record is from RNAcentral. Lineage: Bacteria; Pseudomonadati; Pseudomonadota; Gammaproteobacteria; Oceanospirillales; Halomonadaceae.